AAAUCUGAAAGAGAGGUCAGAGUGCAUCAGCUAGCAACCCGCUGUACAAAAUAGCGAGAGGGCGAGAGCUGUGGAAACAAGUCAGAGAAAAGGACCUGAUGGUACUACCUACUCUCCUCUCUGUCUAGCAGUCCAGUCUGUAAGCUAACGUGAACUUUUUCAGCUUCUACUGUCCAGGCCACAGCCCAGUACAAGUUCCUACCUGCCAUUCGCCCCACAAAAUGUGUCUAGCUGUGGCAGUACCACCAAGAACCAAUUUAUGAUCCGAUAUACAAUAAAGCCCACAGAGCUGCUUUUGCGGUUAUUAUUCUGCAUUCACCGCCCCAAUCCACCAGGUUUAAGGCAAAAAGCACCACCAAUAUCUGCCUCAAAGCAUCAUGCAUGUAUAUUCUUUACAUCAGAAGAAAUACGACAGUGGCACAAUUAAGUAACUCCUACGAUUAGAUAGUCUAUGUCCAUAGAGAUGUUUCAAGCAAGUCCUAGUCCCUAACCACGGAGACAAUCGUGACCAGAGAGGUCCCAGACUGGUACUUUUUAAAAGGAAAACACUGGAGGAAACACUUUUCCAGUCUUCCCAUGGAAACAGCGGGAGAGUUUUUUUGAAGGUCUCACUAAGCAGAAGAGAGGUUUUAUCUCCCUUGCUCCGAUUUCUAAAGGUUUUCAACAAGGUCCAAAGAUUCCUCAAAGUUUCUGCAAUGGGAUAAGAGAGAAGGUCCUUUCACGAACAAGUAAUGGCUUGAAAACUCAGAAACAAAAAGGAUGCUGUUUGCAUAUACAAAUCCCUUCUUGCCUGUGAAAAAGCACACUGUAGAAGACAGUACAUGACAAGUACCCAAGCUGUGUGUGUUUGGGAAGUAAGAGACACCAUCUCUUCACAUCAGGAACCCCAUCUCCCCUACUGCGGAUUGCUGCCUGUCAGAGGCUUGUUUCACUUUCUACUCUGGGAGCUGGUCGAGAUAGACACCACAUCUGGUUGCAAUGAUCUGAAACUUUCCUGCCUUUCUCCUGGCAGCCUUACUGAAGGCAAGUCGUGUGUGUACAAUGUGCACAUCAAUGUUGCUUUAGUUGGAAUAUGGAUCCCUUUUGGCCUCAGGCUAAAAUGUGUUGUCACAUGGUGAGAAACAGAAUUUUGACUGGAAAGGUAGGAAUGCAGAGCCAAUAUAAAUAUUCACUGAAAAAAUAGGAAUUACUUUCAAAAUAGGUAAGCUCCCAAUUUAUUUCUUCCUAUUUCCUGAAAAUUUAUCACAUUUGCUUAGCUGAUGGCUUUUUCCUACUUAUCUCUGUUUUCUCACUGCUGACAUAUUUCUGAAAGUGCAGCGGGAGCCGUGUCUUGCUACAUUUUGUGGGAUGUGGUGGUUACGUCAAUUAAAACUUGCAGUUUUGUCUUCAGCAGGAUUGUGGGUUAGCCAGUUCUAC
Molecule: long non-coding RNA, 1416 nt
Organism: Egretta garzetta (little egret)
Lineage: Eukaryota; Metazoa; Chordata; Aves; Pelecaniformes; Ardeidae
Exons: 4
Source: RefSeq, a predicted model, not a curated record